This 301-nucleotide ribosomal RNA is filed under the name uncultured bacterium. Its description in RNAcentral is "partial 16S ribosomal RNA". It matches the Rfam family "Bacterial small subunit ribosomal RNA", at positions 509 to 809 of the family's 1533-position model. The record is from RNAcentral.
CAGCAGCCGCGGGAAUAUGUAGGUGGCAAGCGUUGUCCGGAAUUAUUGGGCGUAAAGCGCGCGCAGGUGGUUUAAUAAGUCUGGUGUGAAAGCCCACGGCUCAACCGUGGAGGGUCAUUGGAAACUGUUAAACUUGAGUGCAGGGGAGAAAAGUGGAAUUCCUAGUGUAGCGGUGAAAUGCGUAGAGAUUAGGAGGAACACCAGUGGCGAAGGCGGCUUUUUGGCCUGUAACUGACACUGAGGCGCGAAAGCGUGGGGAGCAAACAGGAUUAGAUACCCCUGUAGUCCCUGUCUCUUAUAA